Molecule: transfer RNA, 77 nt
Filed under: Pseudomonadota bacterium
Lineage: Bacteria; Pseudomonadati; Pseudomonadota
Also listed under: 2 other names
Description: Proteobacteria bacterium tRNA-Met
Rfam family: tRNA
About the family: Transfer RNA (tRNA) molecules are approximately 80 nucleotides in length.
Source: RNAcentral
GGCUAGGUAGCUCAGCUGGUUAGAGCGUGGCACUCAUAAUGCCGAGGUCGAGGGUUCGAGUCCCUCCCUAGCCACCA